AUUGAACGCUGGCGGCAUGCCUUACACAUGCAAGUCGAACGGCAGCACGGGAGCAAUCCUGGUGGCGAGUGGCGAACGGGUGAGUAAUGUAUCGGAACGUGCCCAGUCGUGGGGGAUAACGCAGCGAAAGCUGUGCUAAUACCGCAUACGAUCUAUGGAUGAAAGCGGGGGAUCGCAAGACCUCGCGCGAUUGGAGCGGCCGAUAUCAGAUUAGCUAGUUGGUGGGGUAAAGGCUCACCAAGGCGACGAUCUGUAGCUGGUCUGAGAGGACGACCAGCCACACUGGAACUGAGACACGGUCCAGACUCCUACGGGAGGCAGCAGUGGGGAAUUUUGGACAAUGGGCGCAAGCCUGAUCCAGCAAUGCCGCGUGCAGGAUGAAGGCCUUCGGUUGUAAACUAGCUUUUGUUACGGUAGCGAAAAGGUUACGUACUCUAAUUAACAGGGGCGUCGAUGACGGUACCCGGUAAAGAAGUAAAGACACCCGGACUAACCUUAACG
RNAcentral lists this ribosomal RNA (501 nucleotides) under uncultured bacterium. Its description in RNAcentral is "bacterial SSU rRNA". It matches the Rfam family "Bacterial small subunit ribosomal RNA", at positions 30 to 516 of the family's 1533-position model. The record is from RNAcentral.